GUCCGCACAGUAAACGAUGAUAACUAGUUGUUUGCGAUAUACAGUAAGCGACCAAGCGAAAGCGAUAAGUUAUCCACCUGGGGAGUACGCCGGCAACGGUGAAACUCAAAGGAAUUGACGGGGGCCCCGCACAAGCGGAGGAGCAUGUGGUUUAAUUCGAUGAUACGCGAGGAACCUUACCAGGGCUUGAAAGUUAAGGAAUGAUUAUGAAAGUAGUCAGUCAGCAAUGACCUAAAACUAGGUGCUGCAUGGCUGUCGU
This 259-nucleotide ribosomal RNA is filed under the name uncultured bacterium. RNAcentral describes it as "partial 16S ribosomal RNA". It matches the Rfam family "Bacterial small subunit ribosomal RNA", at positions 793 to 1055 of the family's 1533-position model. The record is from RNAcentral.